UACAGAGGGGGCAAGCGUUAUUCGGAAUUAUUGGGCGUAAAGGGCGCGUAGGCGGCCUGGCAAGUGGAAGGUGAAAUCCCUCGGCUUAACCGAGGAACUGCCCUCCAAACUGCUUGGCUUGAGUCCGGGAGAGGUGAGUGGAAUUCCCAGUGUAGCGGUGAAAUGCGUAGAUAUCAGGAAGAACACCAAUGGCGAAAGCAGCUUUCUGGGACGGUACUGACGCUGAGACGCGAAAGCGUGGGGAGCGAACAGG
This 253-nucleotide ribosomal RNA is filed under the name uncultured bacterium. RNAcentral describes it as "partial 16S ribosomal RNA". It matches the Rfam family "Bacterial small subunit ribosomal RNA", at positions 524 to 776 of the family's 1533-position model. The record is from RNAcentral.